UACGUAGGGGGCAAGCGUUGUCCGGAAUCAUUGGGCGUAAAGCGCGUGUAGGCGGGUCGGUAAGUCCGCUCUGAAAGCCCGGGGCUCAACCCCGGGAGGCGGGUGGAUACUGUCGACCUCGAGUCCGGAAGAGGCGAGUGGAAUUCCUGGUGUAGCGGUGAAAUGCGCAGAUAUCAGGAAGAACACCCGUGGCGAAAGCGGCUCUCUGGAACGGUACUGACGCUGAGGAGCGAAAGCGUGGGGAGCGAACAGG
Molecule: ribosomal RNA, 253 nt
Filed under: uncultured bacterium
Lineage: Bacteria
Description: partial 16S ribosomal RNA
Rfam family: Bacterial small subunit ribosomal RNA
Source: RNAcentral